RNAcentral lists this long non-coding RNA (5793 nucleotides) under Salvia miltiorrhiza (redroot sage). Its description in RNAcentral is "long non-coding RNA (SMIL_LNC000219)". The stretch from base 4821 to 4917 matches the Rfam family "tRNA". The record is from RNAcentral. Lineage: Eukaryota; Viridiplantae; Streptophyta; Magnoliopsida; Lamiales; Lamiaceae.
UUGAAUCCAAAUUCUUCUUCAGAUUGAAAUAGGAAUUCUUGAAACGAGGGGUGAUUCAAGUACGAUACUGGAAUCACAAAGCGCUUCUUUUCAUCGUCCCCAACAUAAACAGCAACAUGCCCUUUCGGAACUUCAUCUGCCCUUCUUUCGCUUGAUAAAGAUCGUCUCAAAAUUUGACGAAUGGCCAUUGUUGUAUGAAUAAGGAUCUUUCUCAAGUGAAACAAAUACUCUUUUUGCAGAUUUCUUGUGAUAGAAAACGAAAGUAAAAAACUAUAGAAUUUUGAAAAUUUGUUGAUGGUUGUGGUUUGGAAAUUUGUUGUAUAUAUAGAGAGGUGAACAAGCAAUGUUGAAUACCUAUAAAGUUUGAUUAGCAACAACCACAAAAUGGAUGUGUGAUGGCUAUAAAACUUGGAAAAACACAAGCACAUGAGAAAUCACAUGGAUCUGUCUAGCUAUCAUUUAAUGUAUAUAUAAGAUUUGAAGCAAGAAAUUGAAAUUUUUGAGGAAUUAAAGACUUAAUCCCCUACCAACUCUACCUAUCAUGGCCCUCAAAUUGCCCCACAGAAAUUAUAAUUUUUAGAUCAAUGAAAAUUUGUAUAUAUAAUUUUAUAGCACUCUAAUAAUCCAUUUGGCUUUGCUGUUUGUAAACAUAUCAUUAAUGUGGUCCACAACAGCUCAUGUGAUUAUGUUUCUGCAACUAUAAAUCCUAAAACAGUAAAAUUUAAUUAGAAGCAGUUGAAAAUGAAGAGGGGAAAUUGAGACAGGCUUGACUUGUGAUGAAGAAUUCACAUGAUUCUGUGUUUCAAUAAUUUAUAGGGUCUAAAAGAUGAUGUAACAGAUACAACAGUGGUCAUGUUGAAACAUAGUAGAAAAUGAAGAGGGAAAAAUGAGACAGACUUGACUUGUGAUGAAGAAUUUCACAUGAUUCUGUGUUUCAAUAAUUGAUAGUAGUAAAAGAUGAUGUAACAGAUACAACAGUGGUCAUGUUGAAACAUAUAUAGUGAAAAGUUUGAUUAAAUCAGAUACAACAGUGUAAUUUGUGGAAUUUUGAAAAGCUAUUUGAUUUGUGUGGGCCAUGCAUGUAGAGUUGGAUGGGGAACAAACAAUGCUUUCAAUCCAUCAAAAUCUUCAUUUUAAUUAUUUCUUAAUCAUUGAUAGACAAAUCCAUGUGCAUGAUUUCUCUCAUGUGCUUGUGUUUUCCAAAUUUCAAAGGGAUGCAACACCUAUAUAUACAACAUGUACAUUUCUCAACUUCAACCAUCAACAAACAAGCCUUCAAAAAAUUCUCUAGCUUUCUUGAUUUUGAUUUCAUUCAUAACUACUAUACUCUUCUUAUUUAACUUGAGAGAAGGUUCAAAAAAUGGCCAUUCGCCAGAUUCUGAGACGAUCUUUCUCCAGCGAAAGAAGGUCAGCUGAAAUAGUUCCCAAGGGGCAAGUUGCUGUUUACGUUGGAGAUAAUGAAAAGAAGCGGUUUGUGAUUCCAGUGGCGUACUUGAACCACCCCUCAUUUCAAGAGUUGUUGUUCCAAGCUGAGGAAGAAUUCGGGUUCAAUCACCCGAUGGGCGGCCUCACCAUCCCUUGCAGUCAAGAAUAUUUUAGAUUUCAUCUCUGGUUUCAGCUCGAGAUGAUUUGUAGCAAUGGUUUUAGGAGGACUAGAGUUUUGUAGAUUAGAAAUGGUAUAUAUCCAAUGGAAUAUAUAAUAGUAGAUGAAUAUACAUGAAAAAUUUGUGGACCAGCUUUUGUUACCUUAAUCUGUUGAUUUUCUUAUUGAAAGUUCUUAGAAAGCAAACACAAAAUUCAGGUGAAUAUAUUCGGUUGAUCAAUCCAUUGAAGAAAGGUCUGCUUGCAAGUCAUUUUCUAGCAUUAAAAUUGUUUAUCUGCUAUGAUUUCCAAAAUGACUUUGCUAUAUAUGUUUUUAAAAAAUCAUUUGUUUCUGGAAUUUGAUGUAUGUGAGGCAUUUAAGGGACAUGUAGCUAAGAAUUUAUGUUCGCAAUUUAUAGGCUCGUGAACAUAUUCGCGAACAAGUUCGAGCUGAACAUGUUCGCAAGCUUAUGAGCCGAACAUAUGUAGGCUCGAGUUUAGCUCGUUCAGGAGAUGAACGAAUUUUGAACGAGCUUUUUUCGAGUCGAACUCCGAAUAGUUCGCAAGCGACUUGGUUUGUAAGUUUACAGCCCUUGUAACCUCACCAUCCCUCGCAAGCGACUUGUUUGUAGGUUUCGUCUCUGGCUUUGGCAGAAGAUGAUGUGCUUAAAAGGAUAAUUUUUUUUGGAUAUUACCAUAUAAUGUAUUCAAUGAAAAAAAUAAAAAAUAAAAUUCAAAUACAUGAAUGAAUACACAUGACAAAUUCUUAGCCAUGAUAUUCUUAGGGGUGUAUUGGUUGUAGAGUCUGUAGGAUUUUUUUGGACUUUGAAAGUCUGGGGGUAUUCAAUCCAAACUUUUAAAAGUCUUUAACAAUCUAGAGGUAUUCAAUAUAAAAUUUAAAAAGUCUUAAAAAAUCUUUAGGUAUUAAAAAAUCUGUGGAUUUUAAAACUUUGUGGAUUUUGAUGGAUUCUUCUUCAAAAAUACAAAGAGAGAAAUCUCACCUCAUCACACGAGAUUUCUAUGGAUUCUUUCACCUCUCUUCUGUCCAGCGCUCGUUCGAGAUCAACGAGCGUUGAUGCUUUGAGUCAAGCUUCUCAGCGAUUGCUGGGCUCCAACUCCGGUUCCAGCGGUCGCUGGUCACUGGCCGACGCUGGGUUGCUCCGAUUCCAGCGAUAGCUGGGUCCAGUCGACGUUGGAUUGUUGCCUUCCUAAUUCCUAUCAAGUCGAUAAAAAUCAAUAAAAAAAAGUAAGUCAAACUCUGCAUAGAGUCUAUAAAUUUCCUAAAUUGACGAAUUUCUAGUGGAGAGUAAUAUUUCAAUAACGAGCGUUCAAUCUCCAAAUUUUUAAAAUUCUAUCUAAUCGAAUUUCUUCAAUCAAUUUGUUUAUUUAAUUGUACUUAUUAUAUGAUAAUGAAAUGAAUGGUGGUGUUAGAAUUACAAUAAUGGGAUGCAGCUCAAUUGGCAACACAUCCAGAGAACACAUUAAGGAUGUGCAUUGGUCACACAAACUCCAUAUAAGUUUUCAACACAUUAAAAAAUGUUAAGUGAGGGCCCUUGUUGCCAUUGUUGGUAGACUACAUAGUUUUACAUCACAAAUUCUUGUUUCUUCAAAAACAAAAAUUAAAAAAUUAUGAUGAUAUGAUUCAAAGACAAUCCAUGUGAAUGUGUUUCCAAAUCCCAAAGCCACCACAUAUCCAUUUCAACUAGCAACUCUGAAUUCCAAAGAGAUAACACAUUUCUUUCUAUGUAUAUACACAACACAAUUCUCAUCUUCAACCAUCAACAAGCCUUCUUUAGCACUCUUCUUGAUUUUGAUUUCUUUCACCACUACUUGAUAGAAAGAAAAUAAAAAUCUCCCAUUUCACUUACUUGAUUUGUUACACAAUGGCCAUCCGCCAAAUGCUGAGACGGUCUUUAUCCAGUGAGAGAAGGUCAGCUGAAGUAGUUCCCAAGGGGCAUCUUGCUGUUUAUGUUGGGACGAAUGAAAAGAAGCGAUUUGUGAUUCCAAUAUCAUACUUAAACCACCCCUCGUUUCAAGGAUUACUGUUUCAAGCUGAGGAAGAAUUCGGGUUCAAUCACCCCAUGGGAGGCCUCACAAUCCCUUGCAGUCAACAAUCAUUUGUAGAUUUCAUCUCUGAGUUCAGCUCAAGAUUAGAAUAGAAUUUUGUAAAUUAGAAAGUGUAUAUGUAUACAUUAGAAAUACAUAAUAGUAGAUGAAUAUACAUGAAAAUUUAUGGAGCAAACUUUUGUCACCUGAAUAUGUUGAUUGAUUUCUCCAAGAAUGAGCUUUUUCUUAUUUGAAAGAAAACACACAAUUCAGGUGAAAAUAUUUGGCUGAUCAACCCACUGAAGAAAAGUCUGCUUGCAAGUGAUUUUCUAGUAUUAAAAUUGUUUAUCUGGCUCUAUAUGAUUGGAUAUAUAUAUAUCAUGAGAGUUGUUUUCACAUUCUGAAACGAUUUUCUAGUAUUAAAAUUCAGGUGAAUAUAUUUGGCUGAUCAAUCCCCUAUAUGUUUUAAAAUUAUCUUUUUCUGUAUUUGAGUUACCAUCAUGAGAGUUGUUUUCACAUUCUGAAACGAUCGUAUUAAAAUUCAGGUGAAUAUAUUUGGCUGAUCAAUCCCCUAUAUGUUUUAAAAUUAUCUUUUUCUGUAUUUGAGUUACCAUCAUGAGAGUUGUUUUCACAUUCUGAAACGAUCUUUAUCAAGUGAAAGAAGGUGAGCUGAAGUUCCAAAAGAGCAUUAAGGGAUGGAUAUAGUAUUAUUUUUUUAGAUUAAAUUUCUCUUUAAUUGUAAUUAUUAUAGCCGAUUAUAUAUUAAUUGCAGGUUAAUGUUUCAUUAAGGGGAUGUAGCUCAAUUGGCGGAGCAUUCAAAUUAUUGAGUAUGAUAUAGGGUUCAAAUCCCCAUCAUCUCCAAAAAAUUUAACUUUUAAUUAAUCAAAUUAAUAUUAUUAUAAACGAGUAAUUUUUUGAUUGGAGGUUCAUAGUUUCUUUAAUAAUUUUUUUCUUUAAUUGUAUAUUAUUAUAAACGAAUAAUUUUUUGAUUGGAGGUUCAUAUUUUAGUAAGGGGAUGUAGCUCAAUUGGCAGACCAUUCAAUUUGUUGAGAAUGAUAUAGGGUUCAAAUAUCAUCAUUAAUUUCCAAAAAAAUUUAAAUUCUAAUUAAUCGAAUUUCUUUUAAUCAAAUUGUGUCUUUAAUUGUAAUUAUUAUAACCGAUUAUAUAUUUAUUGGAGGUUUGAUGUUCAGUAAGGGGAUGUAGCUCAAUUGGUAGAGCACUCAAUUGUUGAGAAUGAUUUACCAUCAUCUCAAUAGAGGAUGAUAUAGGGUUCAAAUCCCAUCAUCUCCAUAAUUUUUAAAUUCUUAUUAUUCGAAUUUCUUUUAAUAAACUUUACUCUUUUUUUGAAACGCAAAUAAACUUUACUCUUAAUUGUAAUUAUUAUAUCCUAUUUAUAAAAAAGCGUGAAGAUUAACAAAUUAAAAAAAAUGAAAACAAUUAAAGUAGAGCAUUCAACCGGAGGUUAACACACAAUUGAAGCUACAUCCCAAUAAGAAAAAACUCGGAGUCAACAGAUUAAGGUAACAAAUUUAAAAUAUUCUCAAUUAAAGUAUUAUUCUCAAUUUGAACAUAUAUAAUUAAAUCCGAUAUUCUCCAACAAUAUCAUGCUUUUGCAUCAAAAACUGGCUAAGAAUUUGCCAUGUAUGUUCAUUAAUUCAUGUAUCAGAAUCUGGAUUGAUUGAAUACAUUAUCUCCUAAUCUACAAAAUAUUUGAUCCUACUAAACAUCAUCAUCUUCUACUCAAGCCAGAUAUGAAAUCUACAAAUAAGUCCUCACUGCAAGGGAUGGUGAGGCCUCCCAUAGGGUGAUUGAAUCCGAACUCUUCUUCAGCUUGAAAUAGCAAUUCUUGAAAGGAAGGGGUGGUUCAAGUACGAUACUGGAAUCACAAAACGCUUCAUUUCAUCCUCCCCAACAUAAACAACAACAUGCCCUUUCGGAACUUCAGCUGCCCUUCUUUCGCUUGAUAAAGAUCGUCUCAAAAUUUGACGAAUGGCCAUUGUUGUGUAGAAUAAGAGUCUUUUUUGAAGUGAAACAAAUACUUUUCAGCAGGUUUCUUGUGACAGAAAUCAAAAGUGAAAAGCUAUAGAAUUUUGAAAAUUUGUUGAUGGUUGUGGUUUGGAAAUAUGUUGUAUAUAUAGAGAGGUCACAAGCAAUGUUGAAUCCCUC